GAGCCAAUGGGGAAAGAGGGGCAGAGCUUUCACUGCUGUCAUGUGACCACUCCCAUUUCCCCCCCCAGGACUGGCCGCUGCAGAGGGAGAUUGCAGCUCCUGCUUGCCGGGCCCUGGACCAAUCGCAGCGCUGGUGGCCGCUGACAUCAUCAUGACCCUGCUCAUCGCGGGAGGAGCCUACUGCCUGGGGGGGCGGGGCCGGAGAGAUGAGGUCAAGCCCCGCCCCGCCGAGGUGGAGCCGACCUAUCAGGAGCUGCAGGGCCAACGCGGUGACGUCUACAGCGAGCUCCAGCGAUAGCCCCGCCCCCUGCCCAUCCCCCAACA
This is a long non-coding RNA of Neopsephotus bourkii (Bourke's parrot), 324 nucleotides long. RefSeq lists it as uncharacterized. NCBI's taxonomy places the organism in Eukaryota, Metazoa, Chordata, Aves, Psittaciformes, Psittacidae. The record is from RefSeq and is a predicted model, not a curated record. The transcript is spliced from 4 exons.